CGGCGCACACUCAGCACGGGGCGCCUCGAGACGUUGGCAGUUGUCGGCUGGCGCAGCUGCCGGUCGGAGGUGCGAUUAGCGGUGAUUAGCGGUACAUGGAAAGAGAGGGAGAUGACAGCAAGCAGAGUUCCAGUUAGUUUUCUAUUUGAAAGGCUAUUUACAGGGUAUUCACUUUUUAUCGCUUUUCACAGCUCAACAACAAUUCAAAAGCGCGCUACAUGCUGAUAAAUAAUAGUAAAACAAUAAAAUAAUUAAUUCAUUUUAAUCAA
Molecule: long non-coding RNA, 269 nt
Organism: Drosophila persimilis
Lineage: Eukaryota; Metazoa; Arthropoda; Insecta; Diptera; Drosophilidae
Exons: 2
Source: RefSeq, a predicted model, not a curated record